GUCUACAGCCAUACCACUGUGACUGUGCCUGAUCUUGGCUGAUUUCGGAAACUAAGCAGGGCCGGGCCUAGUUAAUACUUGGAAGGGAGAAAAUCCUGGUGUUAAAAAAA
Molecule: ribosomal RNA, 110 nt
Filed under: Jaculus jaculus (lesser Egyptian jerboa)
Lineage: Eukaryota; Metazoa; Chordata; Mammalia; Rodentia; Dipodidae
Source: RNAcentral